AGAAAAGCUAAUCGGUGAGUGUUUCUUAUUAAAGUACACAUAAGAAAAUUUCAAUUAAUUUAUUAGCAAUGUCUUUGUCAGGCUUAGUUUUGAAAAAUAUCUAUAAAAAAUCGAAUGCAAGUGUGAGGCAUUUGAGUAAUAAUGUGCAGAAACAGGGCUGGUGCUCUGAACUUGUACGUCGUUUUUCUACAGAGUCUGAGAAACAACAAGUAGAUGGCAGUGGAAAAUCGGAGAAACAAGAAGUAGCUGUUUCCGAUAGUGGCAAACAAUCGAAGCUAUUUCAAAGAAGACGCCGCCGUGGUAAUCUUUGGAGACGCAAUGAAUACGACUUUGCACCUGCUCUUUUCGAAAACUUACCAACGGGACUUGGCAAUGCAUUAUUGCAAGCCACAGAGAACAUCAACAAGAUAUUUGAUAAUUUCAACUUGAAUCCCUCACAAUUACUGGGAAGGUACAAAGAGGAUGAUAAGAAUUACAAAAUCCGUUACGACUUGCCAGGACUCGGCAAGAAGGACGUGAAGAUCAUGGUUGAGGAUGGAAUUUUGACAAUAAAAGGUGAACACAAACAAGAGAAGGAAGAAGAAGGAUCAGAUGAUGAGUUUUGGUCAUCAACAAGUUAUGGUUACUAUAAUAAUAGCAUUGUGUUGCCUCAAGAUGCUAAGGUUGAUGAAAUUAAAGCUGAGAUGAAAGAUGGUGUUUUGACAAUUACUAUUCCUAAAAGUGACAAACCUAAGAAAGAUGUUCAGGAAAUUGAAGUUAUGUGAGGUUUUUCUUUGGUAGUAUUACCUCUGACAUGUUUGUGAGUGUCUUCAUAAUAAUAAUUUAAGUUUUCUUCAGUUUCAAGAGGGUGUGACAAGAAUGGCUUUGCUUUAUUCGAAAAAAUUGGCCAUAAUUUUGGCCAAGAAUUGUUUCAAAAUAAAAUCUAUCGUUUUGUUAUUUUA
RNAcentral lists this unclassified non-coding RNA (941 nucleotides) under Hevea brasiliensis (rubber tree). The record is from RNAcentral. Lineage: Eukaryota; Viridiplantae; Streptophyta; Magnoliopsida; Malpighiales; Euphorbiaceae.